Triticum aestivum (bread wheat) is the source of this 618-nucleotide long non-coding RNA. RefSeq lists it as uncharacterized. Lineage: Eukaryota; Viridiplantae; Streptophyta; Magnoliopsida; Poales; Poaceae. The record is from RefSeq and is a predicted model, not a curated record. The transcript is spliced from 2 exons.
CAUUUCUUAAUUUAUUGAUGUUCCUUGAGUGUAAUUUUUUGCAUUAUCAACCUGUGCAGAUAAGCCAAGGCCUAUCCCUAUCCUGCUCAAACCAAAGACAUGGAAAUGCGCCAUCCGUAGAGAUUAGAGAGCUAUAAACAGAAUCUCAGGGCGAGAAUACCAAUAUCGAAGUUAUUCCAGAGAAUUCUUCCAGGACACAGAGACCGGAAAGCGAGAUCACUUGGGGUGGAGCUAUUCUCCUGCGAGACGCACACGAGAAGUUGUUGCCAUGCUGAAUUGCGAGAUCCGUAAUAAGCGCUUCUAUUGGCUAUCAACAUUCUGCUCCCAGAAAAAGAUCUUGUUUGAAUAAUAAGUACUUGUAGCCACCUCCUUUUACCUAAGGUCAUGUCAUUGUAUUUCUUUUCCAACAAGCAUGGCGGUAUUCUUGCCCUGGGCAGUGUCAGUUUUUUGUCGAAAUUCUGUUGCAGAGUUUCCCAGUUUUAUCUAUGGAGCUGUAUAAACAGAGUACCACUGCCAUUUAGAGUUAGUGUUCUGUCUGCUGCAUAUAUCGGCAAUGUUAUUUAUGAAGGAUUUAUGAAGCUGUUGAUUUCCCCUUAAUACUCUGCAUCAAUUUUUUUA